GGUUAAGCGACUAAGCGUACACGGUGGAUGCCCUGGCAGUCAGAGGCGAUGAAGGACGUGCUAAUCUGCGAUAAGCGUCGGUAAGGUGAUAUGAACCGUUAUAACCGGCGAUUUCCGAAUGGGGAAACCCAGUGUGUUUCGACACACUAUCAUUAACUGAAUCCAUAGGUUAAUGAGGCGAACCGGGGGAACUGAAACAUCUAAGUACCCCGAGGAAAAGAAAUCAACCGAGAUUCCCCCAGUAGCGGCGAGCGAACGGGGAGCAGCCCAGAGCCUGAAUCAGUGUGUGUGUUAGUGGAAGCGUCUGGAAAGGCGCGCGAUACAGGGUGACAGCCCCGUACACAAAAAUGCACAUGCUGUGAGCUCGAUGAGUAGGGCGGGACACGUGGUAUCCUGUCUGAAUAUGGGGGGACCAUCCUCCAAGGCUAAAUACUCCUGACUGACCGAUAGUGAACCAGUACCGUGAGGGAAAGGCGAAAAGAACCCCGGCGAGGGGAGUGAAAAAGAACCUGAAACCGUGUACGUACAAGCAGUGGGAGCACGCUUAGGCGUGUGACUGCGUACCUUUUGUAUAAUGGGUCAGCGACUUAUAUUCUGUAGCAAGGUUAACCGAAUAGGGGAGCCGAAGGGAAACCGAGUCUUAACUGGGCGUUAAGUUGCAGGGUAUAGACCCGAAACCCGGUGAUCUAGCCAUGGGCAGGUUGAAGGUUGGGUAACACUAACUGGAGGACCGAACCGACUAAUGUUGAAAAAUUAGCGGAUGACUUGUGGCUGGGGGUGAAAGGCCAAUCAAACCGGGAGAUAGCUGGUUCUCCCCGAAAGCUAUUUAGGUAGCGCCUCGUGAAUUCAUCUCCGGGGGUAGAGCACUGUUUCGGCAAGGGGGUCAUCCCGACUUACCAACCCGAUGCAAACUGCGAAUACCGGAGAAUGUUAUCACGGGAGACACACGGCGGGUGCUAACGUCCGUCGUGAAGAGGGAAACAACCCAGACCGCCAGCUAAGGUCCCAAAGUCAUGGUUAAGUGGGAAACGAUGUGGGAAGGCCCAGACAGCCAGGAUGUUGGCUUAGAAGCAGCCAUCAUUUAAAGAAAGCGUAAUAGCUCACUGGUCGAGUCGGCCUGCGCGGAAGAUGUAACGGGGCUAAACCAUGCACCGAAGCUGCGGCAGCGACGCUUAUGCGUUGUUGGGUAGGGGAGCGUUCUGUAAGCCUGCGAAGGUGUGCUGUGAGGCAUGCUGGAGGUAUCAGAAGUGCGAAUGCUGACAUAAGUAACGAUAAAGCGGGUGAAAAGCCCGCUCGCCGGAAGACCAAGGGUUCCUGUCCAACGUUAAUCGGGGCAGGGUGAGUCGACCCCUAAGGCGAGGCCGAAAGGCGUAGUCGAUGGGAAACAGGUUAAUAUUCCUGUACUUGGUGUUACUGCGAAGGGGGGACGGAGAAGGCUAUGUUGGCCGGGCGACGGUUGUCCCGGUUUAAGCGUGUAGGCUGGUUUUCCAGGCAAAUCCGGAAAAUCAAGGCUGAGGCGUGAUGACGAGGCACUACGGUGCUGAAGCAACAAAUGCCCUGCUUCCAGGAAAAGCCUCUAAGCAUCAGGUAACAUCAAAUCGUACCCCAAACCGACACAGGUGGUCAGGUAGAGAAUACCAAGGCGCUUGAGAGAACUCGGGUGAAGGAACUAGGCAAAAUGGUGCCGUAACUUCGGGAGAAGGCACGCUGAUAUGUAGGUGAAGUCCCUCGCGGAUGGAGCUGAAAUCAGUCGAAGAUACCAGCUGGCUGCAACUGUUUAUUAAAAACACAGCACUGUGCAAACACGAAAGUGGACGUAUACGGUGUGACGCCUGCCCGGUGCCGGAAGGUUAAUUGAUGGGGUCAGCGCAAGCGAAGCUCUUGAUCGAAGCCCCGGUAAACGGCGGCCGUAACUAUAACGGUCCUAAGGUAGCGAAAUUCCUUGUCGGGUAAGUUCCGACCUGCACGAAUGGCGUAAUGAUGGCCAGGCUGUCUCCACCCGAGACUCAGUGAAAUUGAACUCGCUGUGAAGAUGCAGUGUACCCGCGGCAAGACGGAAAGACCCCGUGAACCUUUACUAUAGCUUGACACUGAACAUUGAGCCUUGAUGUGUAGGAUAGGUGGGAGGCUUUGAAGUGUGGACGCCAGUCUGCAUGGAGCCGACCUUGAAAUACCACCCUUUAAUGUUUGAUGUUCUAACGUUGACCCGUAAUCCGGGUUGCGGACAGUGUCUGGUGGGUAGUUUGACUGGGGCGGUCUCCUCCUAAAGAGUAACGGAGGAGCACGAAGGUUGGCUAAUCCUGGUCGGACAUCAGGAGGUUAGUGCAAUGGCAUAAGCCAGCUUGACUGCGAGCGUGACGGCGCGAGCAGGUGCGAAAGCAGGUCAUAGUGAUCCGGUGGUUCUGAAUGGAAGGGCCAUCGCUCAACGGAUAAAAGGUACUCCGGGGAUAACAGGCUGAUACCGCCCAAGAGUUCAUAUCGACGGCGGUGUUUGGCACCUCGAUGUCGGCUCAUCACAUCCUGGGGCUGAAGUAGGUCCCAAGGGUAUGGCUGUUCGCCAUUUAAAGUGGUACGCGAGCUGGGUUUAGAACGUCGUGAGACAGUUCGGUCCCUAUCUGCCGUGGGCGCUGGAGAACUGAGGGGGGCUGCUCCUAGUACGAGAGGACCGGAGUGGACGCAUCACUGGUGUUCGGGUUGUCAUGCCAAUGGCACUGCCCGGUAGCUAAAUGCGGAAGAGAUAAGUGCUGAAAGCAUCUAAGCACGAAACUUGCCCCGAGAUGAGUUCUCCCUGACCCUUUAAGGGUCCUGAAGGAACGUUGAAGACGACGACGUUGAUAGGCCGGGUGUGUAAGCGCAGCGAUGCGUUGAGCUAACCGGUACUAAUGAACCGUGAGGCUUAACCUU
Molecule: ribosomal RNA, 2904 nt
Filed under: Escherichia coli
Lineage: Bacteria; Pseudomonadati; Pseudomonadota; Gammaproteobacteria; Enterobacterales; Enterobacteriaceae
Description: 23S ribosomal RNA
Rfam family: Bacterial large subunit ribosomal RNA
Source: RNAcentral